Molecule: ribosomal RNA, 606 nt
Filed under: uncultured bacterium
Lineage: Bacteria
Description: bacterial SSU rRNA
Rfam family: Bacterial small subunit ribosomal RNA
Source: RNAcentral
GGACCCGCACAAGCGGUGGAGCAUGUGGUUUUAUUCGACGAUACACGAAGAACCGUACCUGGACUGGACAUAGUAAGAACUGUCUAGAGAUAGAUUGGUGUCUGCUUGCAGGAACUUAUAUACAGGUGCUGCACGGCUGUCGUCAGCUCGUGUCGUGAGAUGUUGGGUUAAGUCCCGCAACGAGCGCAACCCUCGUCAUUAGUUGCUAACAGUUCGGCUGAGUACUCUAAUGAGACUGCCUACGCAAGUAGGAGGAAGGUGAGGACGACGUCAAGUCAUCAUGGCCCUUACGUCCAGGGCUACACACGUGCUACAAUGGGGCGUACAAAGAGCAGCAUAUACCGCGAGGUGGAGCAAAUCUCAAAAAUGUCUCCCAGUUCGGAUUGUAGUCUGCAACUCGACUACAUGAAGUUGGAAUCGCUAGUAAUCGUAGAUCAGCUAUGCUACGGUGAAUACGUUCCCGGGUCUUGUACUCACCGCCCGUCACACCAUGGGAGUUGACUCAUUCGAAGCGGGGAUGCUAAAGUAGCUACCUUCCACAGUGGAUUCAGCGACUGGGGUGAAGCGUACAAGGUAACCAAGGGCGAUUCCAGCAACUGGCGGCCG